GCAAAUUGAAUCACCUGAAGCAGAUCGUUUUUACUGAAUCAUUUAAAGCUUCCAUUCUGUUCAUGUAUGUAUAAUACAUAAGUUGCUUACAUGCUACCUCCUAACUUUCAAUCUAAUUAACAAAGACAUAGCUAAAUAUAUAAAGAAUGUAAUAUACAUAUAAACAGAAACAUAGCGUCAAUAUACCUAAAAAUAGAAACAAGGCUCCAGAUACGUAAUAUAACAUUUGAAACACGUUAUAGGAUUAUCCCAUAAAAACAGUAGAAUGCUACACCAUAUGUGAUAUUGUAUACUUAAUGACUGGGUAUGAAAGGAUUGUAAGUUUAUUGUCCCCCGAGUUGCAACUAUUGUCCUGAGGCGUGUUUUAUUAUAUUGAAAAAGACAACAGACCAUAAAUGGCGGUGAUAAAUAGUCGUGAAUCGUAAUAUAAAAACCAGAAACCCAAAACAUAACAAACAUAAAACAUUUACACUGCGCAAGGUUGUCUUAUAUUGACGUCACCC
This 503-nucleotide long non-coding RNA is filed under the name Mytilus galloprovincialis (Mediterranean mussel). Lineage: Eukaryota; Metazoa; Mollusca; Bivalvia; Mytilida; Mytilidae. The record is from RNAcentral.